Molecule: non-coding RNA, 931 nt
Organism: Bemisia tabaci
Lineage: Eukaryota; Metazoa; Arthropoda; Insecta; Hemiptera; Aleyrodidae
Source: RefSeq, a predicted model, not a curated record
AGUGGCGCGUAUGAAUCCGAGUGGAGUAACAAUUUUCGGUAUUAAGCUUUUCAUUUCCUCAAUUAUCAGACACUGUCAUAUAUGAGUUAGUUGAUUUUCUGAAGUGAAAGUUCAUCUCCUCUCUCGAAAAGGUUCCUCUGAAUUUGUGCAUCAGAUAAACCCCCAAGAAGAUAAUGACACGAAAAGAACACGCAACAGGCGUUCUCCCGUAAGAACACAUGUUAAACCGCGGCCGAGUUUCAUCUACUGGCGUGACGUCACGGGAACGUAGUUACAGCCUCUUCAUUCUCGUAGGCAACGGUCUAGAUUGAACAACGACUACUGAGUUGACAACCUAAAAGAGCAAUAUCGAUUGUGGUGCUAAGAGAACACCAUAAAAUACACAAAUCAGGUCGCUCAAAAAAAUAGCAACACAACUCAAUAAAAAAUUUAAAAAAUUGGCAAAUAAAGCUAAUCUAUUACAACACUAGAAGACAGGAUGUUUUGAGCCGUCACAAGUUCAGUGAGUAGUUGUUUCAUAAGAACAGGAACCAAAUUGGUAGGCGAUUUUAUAAACAUUUUCAUUGUUUAUUACUAUUGUAAAUCAGCCUAAUACUCCGGCUUGUCCUCGAGUGUUUUAAUAUUUUAACGGCUUCUAUUUUUUCGUGUAAAUUAGAAGUUAGUGCCUGCAAAAUAAUUUAUUCCGUCGUCGUAGUUAAUUGAAAAUCAGUAGUGUGCACGAAUGAAAAUGGAAUCACAAAAAUUUUCAAACCAACUAAACUUUUGGCCCGAUUUCAUGAAGACUUUUCCCCCAUCUGGAUACAACCACAAUUUCCCAUCGAGCGUCUCCUUUGGGUCCUAAAAAAUACAUCACAAUUAAAAUGAAACAAAUGAUAAAGAGAUCUCUACGUGAAUGCUGAUUGACGACUCAAGACUUUUUCUAAAACUCAAA